Molecule: ribosomal RNA, 460 nt
Filed under: uncultured bacterium
Lineage: Bacteria
Description: partial 16S ribosomal RNA
Rfam family: Bacterial small subunit ribosomal RNA
Source: RNAcentral
CCUACGGGCGGCAGCAGUGAGGAAUAUUGGUCAAUGGACGCGAGUCUGAACCAGCCAAGUAGCGUGAAGGAUGACUGCCCUAUGGGUUGUAAACUUCUUUUAUAUGGGAAUAAAGUUCAGCACGUAUACCGUUUUGUAUGUACUUUAUGAAUAAGGAUCGGCUAACUCCGUGCCAGCAGCCGCGGUAAUACGGAGGAUCCGAGCGUUAUCCGGAUUUAUUGGGUUUAAAGGGAGCGUAGGUGGGUGGUUAAGUCAGUUGUGAAAGUUUGCGGCUCAACCGUAAAAUUGCAAUUGAUACUGGGAGUCUUGAGUACAGCUGAGGUAGGCGGAAUUCGUGGUGUAGCGGUGAAAUGCUUAGAUAUCACGAAGAACUCCGAUUGCGAAGGCAGCUUACUAAACUGUAACUGACACUGAUGCUCGAAAGUGUGGGUAUCAAACAGGAUUAGAUACCCUUGUAGUC